GGGGGGGAGGGGGGGAGGGUGAGUUUGGAAGGGGAUUAAUAACAGUCAAUUCUCAAUUCGCUAUAAAUUCUUUGUAUUCGACAGUGUCAAUGGAAGCGAUCAACGAUAGUAGGUGAGAGGGUGGGUAUCGGGUGUAGAUAACAAACUCAACCUUUCACUGCACACGGCAACCCCUGGAUACUGGUUCGAAGAGGGGCCGAGCAGCGGUCGAGACGGUUCACUCGCGCCGCUCUGUCGACCUGUGCGUUGAACACCGUGCCACCAAUCACUCUCGCGAGUCUCUCGUCCGAAGUCACCAGCAGUCGCAGUACGUCGGCCGCAGUCACACUCAGUACUGUUGUUUCGUUCCGCCGCCGAGAGCCACACGUGUGCACUGACCUUGAUACAUGGCUCGAUUAAUGCACUAGACACGAUCAUCCACCAUCUUAAGAAAUAACACAGCUGUGCUGUGUUAUCCCUUAGGAAGGUGAUAGUCGUUUUCAUUUCAAUUCAUAUAGCGACCGACUUUACUGUUUCAAUGCUAAAUAAUAUUUAACAUUACGAAUCUGAUUAGAUCCAAUCGUCAAAUCCUGUUUAAAUGACUCUUGACUUGUGACGUUCCGAUUUAUUGAUAUAUUUUAAACUGUAUAGUUUCAUAAACUCGUUUUGUGUAUUCUUCUCACACAGCAAUUGGUUAACUAUGAUAAUUUUACGUAUACUCACGCAAUUUUUUUUCGUUCUCAUUACAACAUUUCAUUUACAAACAUUUACUUAGUCAUGACAUUUUUAUUGUAUAUAAGAUAUAUAUUAUUAAUUACAUAUACACUGUACAGUAACACUUACGAUCCACACGUAGUUAGUUGGGCGGAAAUAGGGCCAGAUCAAUAAUAAAUUUGCGACCGGUCGCGUGUUGCACUGGUUCUUAUUCCUUUAGGCAAAAUGGUCUCGGGGGGAGCGCACAGUUGCAAAAAACUCUGGGACAAGACUGAUUAUUUCCUUCCCGCGGUUGCCGCCCGUUAACUUCCUAUUUACUACCGACAGUAAAUAGGUAGAACUAAAAUAAUCAGUCGAUAUUGUAUAAAAUUACUCACAUGCUUUGUUUUAUUUUCAGAAGGAUUUCACCAUUUCACAUCUACUUAUAAGUCAAGUCAUCGACCGGAAAGAAAACCCACAUAUAUAUAUAUACAGAAAUUACCAAAUAAUACACUUUAAUCUAUUGACAUGUUACAGGAAUUACUCAAUAAAUAGGUAUUACGAAAAAUAAACUGGUGCAGAAACAUACUUGAUGCGUUUUGAGAAAGGAACAAGAAAAGAUGUCCAAGAAAGAAAUAUAUAAUCAUCAACUGGAUCAAGAUCUAAUUUUCACACCUACCCACCCACUCGAUCGACAGUUAAUAGAUAUAAGGUAAAAUAAAUUCCUAUAAUCCUCAUAUGGCACAACAAAUAACAAAUCCACAAAACCCGUCACUCGAAAAAAUUGCAUCGGUACUCCACGUCACGGCCUUGUCACCUGUCUACAACCUCUAUCUUCGUCUGCAACUCAAUCGAAAUGUUACGACACAACUGAUGAAGCAACGUACAUCGCCUACACAAACAACCACGAUAACAACACUUCGAGCAGAAAACUGACACCAAGAAGCUACAAUCGAACAAUCAAGCUACAAUACUGCAAGCUACCUACGGCCAACGGUAAAGCUACACAUGAACAAACAACUCCUCGAACAUAAUCUGUGGCCAUCACCGAAACCCUGAAGUGGCGCGGCCUGCAGGAGUGCAUCUCGCGUCACGAGAGAGGAGGGAGGGAGAGAGGACGACGCCGGCCCCCCCACACCACACGCCGCCGGACACCUCUCCUACACCAGCAGCGCAGUAUCUACUCGAACAGAAUCCAACAAGACGGUGAGGCUGCCGGCCGCCUUCACUGCGCCCUCCGAGCCCCGGCGACACGGACGCGCCGCUCCAGCCACGGAGAGGGCAGCUGCAGCCGAGACUACUGUCCACGAUGUCUACUUACGCCGAAAGAAUACUGCGAGCUGUGCGGCAUCGUGUUAACAUUUCGGAUGAGCAAACUACAGCUGAGCUGUCAAUCUACAAGCUUCAAAUGAUGAAAUAGCACACAAGCACGCCGACUCCUCGAGUAAAGAAUAACCAUCGACGAGCUGCAUCCACUGUCCGGACGAACGUACUACCAACGAAGUGCAGUCGGUGCAGCAUCGUAGAAAUCGAAAAUAUAAACUUUGCUGGGCUACUACGUCACGUUACGCAUGUCGUCAUGGCGUGUUCACUACACAUCCUUACCUCCUGUUAUAUGUCUUGCUUUUCACCUUAGAUUAAUAUACAAUAAAAUAUAAAA
Long non-coding RNA from Cydia pomonella (codling moth), 2332 nucleotides. RefSeq lists it as uncharacterized. Lineage: Eukaryota; Metazoa; Arthropoda; Insecta; Lepidoptera; Tortricidae. The transcript is spliced from 9 exons. The record is from RefSeq and is a predicted model, not a curated record.